This 499-nucleotide ribosomal RNA is filed under the name uncultured bacterium. RNAcentral's name for it is "bacterial SSU rRNA". It matches the Rfam family "Bacterial small subunit ribosomal RNA", at positions 791 to 1296 of the family's 1533-position model. The record is from RNAcentral.
UAGUCCACGCCCUAAACGAUGCUUACUCGACAUGUGUGAUAUACAAUACGUGUCCAAGGGAAACCGCUAAGUAAGCCACCUGGGGAGUACGUUCGCAAGAAUGAAACUCAAAGGAAUUGACGGGGGUCCGCACAAGCAGUGGAGCAUGUGGUUCAAUUCGAUGAUACGCGAGGAACCUUACCUAGGCUCGAAUGCUUCUGCAUAGACUAGAGAUAGUCUUUUCCUUCGGGACUGAAAGCAAGGUGCUGCAUGGCUGUCGUCAGCUCGUGCCGUGAGGUGUUGGGUUAAGUCCCGCAACGAGCGCAACCCUUGUCUUUAGUUGCCAUCAUUAAGUUGGGCACUUUAAAGAGACUGCCGGUGACAAACCGGAGGAAGGUAAGGAUGACGUCAAGUCAGCAUGCCCCUUAUGCUCUGGGCUACACACGUGCUACGAUGGCCGUGACAAAGAGUUGCUACUUUGUGAAAACAAGCUAAUCUCAUAAACGCGGCCUCAGUUCGG